RNAcentral lists this ribosomal RNA (424 nucleotides) under uncultured cyanobacterium. Its description in RNAcentral is "bacterial SSU rRNA". It matches the Rfam family "Bacterial small subunit ribosomal RNA", at positions 356 to 795 of the family's 1533-position model. The record is from RNAcentral. Lineage: Bacteria; Bacillati; Cyanobacteriota.
GGGGAAUUUUCCGCAAUGGGCGCAAGCCUGACGGAGCAACGCCGCGUGAGGGGGGAAGGUCUGUGGAUUGUAAACCUCUUUUGUUAGGGAAGAAGCUCUGACGGUACCUAACGAAUAAGCAUCGGCUAACUCCGUGCCAGCAGCCGCGGUAAGACGGAGGAUGCAAGCGUUAUCCGGAAUUAUUGGGCGUAAAGCGUCCGCAGGCGGCCAAUUAAGUCUGCUGUCAAAGACUGCAGCUCAACUGUGGAUAGGCAGUGGAAACUGAUUGGCUAGAGUACGGUAGGGGUAGAGGGAAUUCCCAGUGUAGCGGUGAAAUGCGUAGAUAUUGGGAAGAACACCAGUGGCGAAGGCGCUCUGCUGGGCCGUAACUGACGCUGAGGGACGAAAGCUAGGGGAGCGAAUGGGAUUAGAUACCCCAGUAGUC